RNAcentral lists this long non-coding RNA (259 nucleotides) under Rhinopithecus bieti (black snub-nosed monkey). Its description in RNAcentral is "lncRNA (ENSRBIG00000046808.1)". The record is from RNAcentral. Lineage: Eukaryota; Metazoa; Chordata; Mammalia; Primates; Cercopithecidae.
CCAGCAGCAGCAGAAGGGAGACCCAGGUUGGCAGCUGGAGUGACUGACAGUGAUUUCCCUUCCGUUCAGUGAUGAGCCCACUAUGAAGAAAGGGCACGAAGCUGGUUCCUCUCUCCCUGUCCUGGGAAUGGUGCCUGCCCGUGAUGGUAUCCUCAGGUCCCCAUCUCUGCUCCAACAAGAUGUCUCAGGGGACGUCUAUGCAUUCAGCCAGGUGACCACUAGAAGAAAAUGUUCCCCAGGACCACCUAAGAGAAUGUAA